UAACUUCAAUUCUUCACAUGCAGCACA
RNAcentral lists this small RNA (27 nucleotides) under Bombyx mori (domestic silkworm). RNAcentral describes it as "ovarian small RNA-19056". Lineage: Eukaryota; Metazoa; Arthropoda; Insecta; Lepidoptera; Bombycidae. The record is from RNAcentral.